GAGUUUGAUCAUGGCUCAGGAUGAACGCUAGCGGCAGGCUUAAUACAUGCAAGUCGAGGGGCAGCGCGGGUAGCAAUACUUGGCGGCGACCGGCAAACGGGUGCGGAACACGUACGCAACCUUCCCAAAACUGGGGAAUAGCCCUCCGAAAGGAGGAUUAAUACCCCGUAACACAAUUAAGAGGCAUCUCUUGAUUGUUAUAGCUCAGGCGGUUUUGGAUGGGCGUGCGGCUGAUUAGGUAGUUGGCGGGGUAACGGCCCACCAAGCCAUCGAUCAGUAACUGGUGUGAGAGCACGACCAGUCACACGGGCACUGAGACACGGGCCCGACUCCUACGGGAGGCAGCAGUAAGGAAUAUUGGUCAAUGGACGCAAGUCUGAACCAGCCAUGCCGCGUGAAGGAUGAAGGCCCUCUGGGUUGUAAACUUCUUUUAUCUGGGAACNNNNNNNGGGGGAUUCUUCCUCCNUUUGACCGGUACCAAAAGGAAAUAAGCACCGGUCUAACUCCGUGCCAGCAGCCGCGGUAAUACGGAGGGGGUGCAAGCGUUAUCCGGAUUCACCUGGGUUUAAAGGGGGCGUAGGUGGGCAGGUAAGUCAGUGGUGAAAUCUUCGAGCUUAACUCGGAAACUGCCAUUGAUACUAUCUGUCUUGAAUAUCCUGGAGGUGAGCGGAAUAUGUCAUGUAGCGGUGAAAUGCUUAGAUAUGACAUAGAACACCAAUUGCGAAGGCAGCUCACUACGGGAUGAUUGACGCUGAGGCACGAAAGCGUGGGGAUCAACAGGAUUAGAUACCCUGGUAGUCCACGCCCUAAACGAUGGAUACUCGACAUAUGCGAUACACUGUAUGUGUCUGAGCGAAAGCAU
Molecule: ribosomal RNA, 862 nt
Filed under: uncultured bacterium
Lineage: Bacteria
Description: bacterial SSU rRNA
Rfam family: Bacterial small subunit ribosomal RNA
Source: RNAcentral